RNAcentral lists this ribosomal RNA (2774 nucleotides) under Escherichia coli. RNAcentral describes it as "bacterial LSU rRNA". It matches the Rfam family "Bacterial large subunit ribosomal RNA". The record is from RNAcentral. Lineage: Bacteria; Pseudomonadati; Pseudomonadota; Gammaproteobacteria; Enterobacterales; Enterobacteriaceae.
AGCGUACACGGUGGAUGCCCUGGCAGUCAGAGGCGAUGAAGGACGUGCUAAUCUGCGAUAAGCGUCGGUAAGGUGAUAUGAACCGUUAUAACCGGCGAUUUCCGAAUGGGGAAACCCAGUGUGUUUCGACACACUAUCAUUAACUGAAUCCAUAGGUUAAUGAGGCGAACCGGGGGAACUGAAACAUCUAAGUACCCCGAGGAAAAGAAAUCAACCGAGAUUCCCCCAGUAGCGGCGAGCGAACGGGGAGGAGCCCAGAGCCUGAAUCAGUGUGUGUGUUAGUGGAAGCGUCUGGAAAGGCGCGCGAUACAGGGUGACAGCCCCGUACACAAAAAUGCACAUACUGUGAGCUCGAUGAGUAGGGCGGGACACGUGGUAUCCUGUCUGAAUAUGGGGGGACCAUCCUCCAAGGCUAAAUACUCCUGACUGACCGAUAGUGAACCAGUACCGUGAGGGAAAGGCGAAAAGAACCCCGGCGAGGGGAGUGAAAAAGAACCUGAAACCGUGUACGUACAAGCAGUGGGAGCCUCUUUAUGGGGUGACUGCGUACCUUUUGUAUAAUGGGUCAGCGACUUAUAUUCUGUAGCAAGGUUAACCGAAUAGGGGAGCCGAAGGGAAACCGAGUCUUAACUGGGCGUUAAGUUGCAGGGUAUAGACCCGAAACCCGGUGAUCUAGCCAUGGGCAGGUUGAAGGUUGGGUAACACUAACUGGAGGACCGAACCGACUAAUGUUGAAAAAUUAGCGGAUGACUUGUGGCUGGGGGUGAAAGGCCAAUCAAACCGGGAGAUAGCUGGUUCUCCCCGAAAGCUAUUUAGGUAGCGCCUCGUGAAUUCAUCUCCGGGGGUAGAGCACUGUUUCGGCAAGGGGGUCAUCCCGACUUACCAACCCGAUGCAAACUGCGAAUACCGGAGAAUGUUAUCACGGGAGACACACGGCGGGUGCUAACGUCCGUCGUGAAGAGGGAAACAACCCAGACCGCCAGCUAAGGUCCCAAAGUCAUGGUUAAGUGGGAAACGAUGUGGGAAGGCCCAGACAGCCAGGAUGUUGGCUUAGAAGCAGCCAUCAUUUAAAGAAAGCGUAAUAGCUCACUGGUCGAGUCGGCCUGCGCGGAAGAUGUAACGGGGCUAAACCAUGCACCGAAGCUGCGGCAGCGACGCUUAUGCGUUGUUGGGUAGGGGAGCGUUCUGUAAGCCUGCGAAGGUGUGCUGUGAGGCAUGCUGGAGGUAUCAGAAGUGCGAAUGCUGACAUAAGUAACGAUAAAGCGGGUGAAAAGCCCGCUCGCCGGAAGACCAAGGGUUCCUGUCCAACGUUAAUCGGGGCAGGGUGAGUCGACCCCUAAGGCGAGGCCGAAAGGCGUAGUCGAUGGGAAACAGGUUAAUAUUCCUGUACUUGGUGUUACUGCGAAGGGGGGACGGAGAAGGCUAUGUUGGCCGGGCGACGGUUGUCCCGGUUUAAGCGUGUAGGCUGGUUUUCCAGGCAAAUCCGGAAAAUCAAGGCUGAGGCGUGAUGACGAGGCACUACGGUGCUGAAGCAACAAAUGCCCUGCUUCCAGGAAAAGCCUCUAAGCAUCAGGUAACAUCAAAUCGUACCCCAAACCGACACAGGUGGUCAGGUAGAGAAUACCAAGGCGCUUGAGAGAACUCGGGUGAAGGAACUAGGCAAAAUGGUGCCGUAACUUCGGGAGAAGGCACGCUGAUAUGUAGGUGAAGCGACUUGCUCGUGGAGCUGAAAUCAGUCGAAGAUACCAGCUGGCUGCAACUGUUUAUUAAAAACACAGCACUGUGCAAACACGAAAGUGGACGUAUACGGUGUGACGCCUGCCCGGUGCCGGAAGGUUAAUUGAUGGGGUUAGCGGUAACGCGAAGCUCUUGAUCGAAGCCCCGGUAAACGGCGGCCGUAACUAUAACGGUCCUAAGGUAGCGAAAUUCCUUGUCGGGUAAGUUCCGACCUGCACGAAUGGCGUAAUGAUGGCCAGGCUGUCUCCACCCGAGACUCAGUGAAAUUGAACUCGCUGUGAAGAUGCAGUGUACCCGCGGCAAGACGGAAAGACCCCGUGAACCUUUACUAUAGCUUGACACUGAACAUUGAGCCUUGAUGUGUAGGAUAGGUGGGAGGCUUUGAAGUGUGGACGCCAGUCUGCAUGGAGCCGGCCUUGAAAUACCACCCUUUAAUGUUUGAUGUUCUAACGUUGGCCCCUGAUCGGGGUUGCGGACAGUGUCUGGUGGGUAGUUUGACUGGGGCGGUCUCCUCCUAAAGAGUAACGGAGGAGCACGAAGGUUGGCUAAUCCUGGUCGGACAUCAGGAGGUUAGUGCAAUGGCAUAAGCCAGCUUGACUGCGAGCGUGACGGCGCGAGCAGGUGCGAAAGCAGGUCAUAGUGAUCCGGUGGUUCUGAAUGGAAGGGCCAUCGCUCAACGGAUAAAAGGUACUCCGGGGAUAACAGGCUGAUACCGCCCAAGAGUUCAUAUCGACGGCGGUGUUUGGCACCUCGAUGUCGGCUCAUCACAUCCUGGGGCUGAAGUAGGUCCCAAGGGUAUGGCUGUUCGCCAUUUAAAGUGGUACGCGAGCUGGGUUUAGAACGUCGUGAGACAGUUCGGUCCCUAUCUGCCGUGGGCGCUGGAGAACUGAGGGGGGCUGCUCCUAGUACGAGAGGACCGGAGUGGACGCAUCACUGGUGUUCGGGUUGUCAUGCCAAUGGCACUGCCCGGUAGCUAAAUGCGGAAGAGAUAAGUGCUGAAAGCAUCUAAGCACGAAACUUGCCCCGAGAUGAGUUCU